Molecule: long non-coding RNA, 502 nt
Filed under: Bos taurus (domestic cattle)
Lineage: Eukaryota; Metazoa; Chordata; Mammalia; Artiodactyla; Bovidae
Description: long non-coding RNA NONBTAT004831
Source: RNAcentral
UUUGUUGAGGUAACAUUUAACAGGAAAUUAUACAGUAGGCACAAUACCAUAGCAGCUGAGAGAGAGAAUUAACUUCCAGGUAUUCAUAAGAAAGUGCAAGAGAGAUUUUCAUAUUGAACACUCCAAGUCCCAAUUUCUGCUAUAUGUGGUGGUAGAUGGUAAGAAUAAAAAUAACCAGUUGACGAAGCUUUUGCAGCUUAAAUUACAGACACUGGAUCUGCAGAUACUCAGUGAUUACCUCAGACCUGCAAUGAGUAUGUCAUGUCGGAUACACAUCAUGAUGAGAUGUUGGCCAGCCUUGAAAGUUUCUGGGUAAUAUGCUGACUGUGAGUUUCCACUGACUACAAAGGUCAUGAAAUGAGAUUUGAAAAACACAAUUAGCAGAUCCCCAAUAACGUCACUGCCAGUGAAUUUAAGGUUGUAAAACUUGUGUUUCAUCCUCCAGGGUCCAAAAAGCAAAAAUUAGAAAACUAGACACUGGAGCAGCUAUGUUCUAAUUUAU